This 818-nucleotide ribosomal RNA is filed under the name uncultured bacterium. RNAcentral describes it as "bacterial SSU rRNA". It matches the Rfam family "Bacterial small subunit ribosomal RNA", at positions 40 to 878 of the family's 1533-position model. The record is from RNAcentral.
CGGCGUGCUUAACACAUGCAAGUCGAACGAUGAAGCCUAGCUUGCUAGGUGGAUUAGUGGCGCACGGGUGAGUAAUAUAUAGAUAACGUGCCUCUUAGUCUGGGAUAGCCAUUGGAAACGAUGAUUAAUACUAGAUACUCCUUCUAACUCUAAUGUUAGUCGGGAAAGUUUUUCGCUAAGAGAUCGGUCUAUAUCCCAUCAGCUAGUUGGUAGUGUAAGAGACUACCAAGGCAAUGACGGGUAGCGGGUUUGAGAGGAUGAUCCGCCACACUGGUACUGAGACACGGACCAGACUCCUACGGGAGGCAGCAGUGAGGAAUAUUGCACAAUGGAGGAAACUCUGAUGCAGCAACGCCGCGUGGAGGAUGACGCAUUUCGGUGUGUAAACUCCUUUUAUAUGUCAAGAAAAUGACGGUAGCAUAUGAAUAAGCACCGGCUAACUCCGUGCCAGCAGCCGCGGUAAUACGGAGGGUGCAAGCGUUAUUCGGAAUCACUGGGCGUAAAGGACGCGUAGGCGGGAUGCCAAGUCUGAUGUGAAAUCCUAUGGCUUAACCAUAGAACUGCAUUGGAAACUGGUAACCUAGAGUAUGGGAGGGGGAGAUGGAAUUAGUGGUGUAGGGGUAAAAUCCGUAGAUAUCACUAGGAAUACCGAAAGCGAAGGCGAUCUCCUGGAACAAUACUGACGCUAAGGCGUGAAAGCGUGGGGAGCAAACGGGAUUAGAUACCCCGGUAGUCCACGCCCUAAACGAUGUUCACUAGUCGUCGGGAUGCUAGUCAUCUCGGUGAUGCACUUAACAGAUUAAGUGAACCGCCUGGGG